RNAcentral lists this ribosomal RNA (253 nucleotides) under uncultured prokaryote. RNAcentral's name for it is "partial 16S ribosomal RNA". It matches the Rfam family "Bacterial small subunit ribosomal RNA", at positions 524 to 776 of the family's 1533-position model. The record is from RNAcentral.
UACGGAGGGUGCGAGCGUUAUCCGGAUUCACUGGGUUUAAAGGGUGCGUAGGUGGGUCUGUAAGUCAGUGGUGAAAUCUCCGAGCUUAACUUGGAAACUGCCAUUGAUACUAUAGCUCUUGAAUUUUCUGGAGGUAAGCGGAAUAUGUCAUGUAGCGGUGAAAUGCUUAGAUAUGACAUAGAACACCAAUUGCGAAGGCAGCUUGCUACAGGAACAUUGACACUGAGGCACGAAAGCGUGGGGAUCAAACAGG